GACGAACGCUGGCGGCGUGCCCAAUACAUGCAAGUUGAGCGCUGAAGGUUGGUACUUGUACCGACUGGAUGAGCAGCGCACGGGUGAGUAACGCGUGGGGAAUCUGCCUUUGAGCGGGGGACAACAUUUGGAAACGAAUGCUAAUACCGCAUAAAAACUUUAAACACAAGUUUUAAGUUUGAAAGAUGCAAUUGCAUCACUCAAAGAUGAUCCCGCGUUGUAUUAGCUAGUUGGUGAGGUAAAGGCUCACCAAGGCGAUGAUACAUAGCCGACCUGAGAGGGUGAUCGGCCACAUUGGGACUGAGACACGGCCCAAACUCCUACGGGAGGCAGCAGUAGGGAAUCUUCGGCAAUGGACGAAAGUCUGACCGAGCAACGCCGCGUGAGUGAAGAAGGGUUUCGGAUCGUAAAACUCUGUUGGUAGAGAAGAACGUUGGUGAGAGUGGAAAGCUCAUCAAGUGACGGUAACUACCCAGAAAGGGACGGCUAACUACGUG
RNAcentral lists this ribosomal RNA (497 nucleotides) under uncultured bacterium. Its description in RNAcentral is "partial 16S ribosomal RNA". It matches the Rfam family "Bacterial small subunit ribosomal RNA", at positions 28 to 507 of the family's 1533-position model. The record is from RNAcentral.